CUUAGACAUGACAUUCCUUGGCCUCCCUUUCAGCAAGAUGAGAAAACUGAGGCACAGAGAGGUGAAAUAAGGCCCCCAGAAUGCUCUUCUCCAAGACUUAGAAAAAUCAAAUGCUAUCCAUCCCUCAAGAUACAUCCCUCCAGCCCCUCCUUGAAGUCUCCUGCAGCUAGAAGUAGAAGUAGCAUCUAUCCCCAUCUGGACUCCUUAGCACUUUGCUGUACCUGCCUUAGUCCCCAUCUCUUUACACACACACACACACACACACACACACACACAGAGUAUUAUAAUACUAUUACCUAUUAUAUUACAUUAUAUUAUUGUAGUUCUACAGGAACUACAAGGAAUUCUACUGUGAAUUCCUUAAGGGUGGGAUACAUUUUACAAUCAUCACUGUUUCUCUCAUUAGUUGUGGAAUCAAAAAAAUGAGUGCACGAUGAAAAAUUAUUCAAACACAUACAUGCUUUCAUUCCAAUUGAAAAUGUAAAAAUAUUACUGUUAAAACAAUAUUAAAGGACAUGUAAUACAAUUCAAAUAUUCCUACCAUGCACGAUUGUUUUCACUUCUUUGUGCCUCUUUCACCAUUUAUUUGUGUGCAUACUCAGCAUAUUUGUUUGUGUAACAGGAUGUUAAAAAUAGAAUUUGUUGCCUGUAGUUUUUGCUAAAGCUCUACUAGACUGGAACAGAACAAUAGGUGGUAAAUACUCCAUUCCUCAGUGAGAUGCUACCUACCUAUGCAGAGCUGGAAAAGAUUUUGCAACCUGAAAACCCAAUCCUUUCUGAGAUAUAAAAGAACAGAAGAGUCUGGAAGUGAUUUCUUCGGAGAAAUUCAUUUUCUUAUUCCAGAGAAGAAACUUCAAGCUCAGAAUAUUGGCUACUACCUGUGAUAAACAUUUAAAUUAUUGGAACGAGAGAGUUUUUAUAACUAAAUUUGAAAGAAGCAAUUUUUUUUAUCAAAGACCAACCCGAAGAUUCAUGACCACUACCUGUGAUUUCAUCCAUGUUGCAAGGAAAAUCCUGCCCCACUUCCCCAAUAGGAAGAGUGGUGGGGGAAUAAUAAAGUUGUUUUAUGAUGCAUCCUGUGGACUUCUACUCGACAGAAUGGUAACAUUCAACUGUAAUCAGGAUGAGCAAGCCACUUUAUUAAACUAAAAUUUUAAACUUUAAUAAAUAUAAUACAAACUGAAAAAUAAAAAUAAUUUUUCAACUCUACACAAGUAUGUUAACUGCAUAAACAGUGAGAUGUUACACAGGGCUGAGGCCUAUACUUCUUCAGUUUGUACAUUAAACGUCUCCAUGGAGG
RNAcentral lists this long non-coding RNA (1300 nucleotides) under Homo sapiens (human). RNAcentral describes it as "non-protein coding lnc-COL28A1-1:6". The record is from RNAcentral. Lineage: Eukaryota; Metazoa; Chordata; Mammalia; Primates; Hominidae.